AGCAGCCGCGGUAAUUCCAGCUCCAAUAGCGUAUAUUAAAGUUGCUGCAGUUAAAAAGCUCGUAGUUGAAUUUCGGGACCAUCAUGUUGGUCGUGCCUCGGUACGUACUGGCAUUGUUGGUUUCUCCCUUCUGACGAACCAGGAUGUCAUUAAUUUGGUGUCUUGGAGAAUCAGGACUGUUACUUUGAAAAAUUGAGUGUUUAAAGCAGGCUAACGCUUGAAUACAUUAGCAUGGAAUAAUGAAAUAGGACGUUUGAUCCUAUUUUGUUGGUUUCUAGGAUCGACGUAAUGAUUAAUAGGGAUAGUUGGGGGCAUUAGUAUUCAAUUGUCAGAGGUGAAAUUCUUGGAUUUAUUGAAGACUAACUACUGCGAAAGCAUUUGCCAAGGAUGUUUUCAUUAAUCAAGAACGAAAGUUAGGGGAUCGAAGACGAUCAGAUACCGUCGUAGUCUUAACCAUAAACUAUGCCGACUAGGGAUCGGAUGAUGUU
Molecule: unclassified non-coding RNA, 488 nt
Filed under: uncultured Glomus
Lineage: Eukaryota; Fungi; Glomeromycota; Glomeromycetes; Glomerales; Glomeraceae
Description: SSU rRNA
Rfam family: Eukaryotic small subunit ribosomal RNA
Source: RNAcentral